AUGGCCCCUGUUCGUCGCCCGGAGCACGGACCGCCGCCGCAUUACGGUGAUGAUGAUCCUAUGUUUUCUGUUCAAAUAUGGCAUGGAGGUUUUUUCAUGGGCCAAGGCAGAAGCAAAAAGUACUAUGGAGGGCAGAGCAUCUGGUUUGAUAACAUAGACAAGAACACAUGGUCACCCCCAGAUGUGGAUGAUCUCAUAGAGCAGAUAGGGUAUGAGAAGGAAGGAAGGAUGACAGUGUACUACUGCAUGCCAGGUCUUCAAGACAACACAAAUGGGCUUAGAGUGAUCAAUGGAGAGGAUGCCACAGAUAACAUGAGAGCUUUUGUGACAUUUGGGCAUCAUUUCAUUGAUAUUUUUUUGGAACAUGAUGAUUCUAUCAGGGAUCUUGAUGAUGUAGUUAGGUUCCCAAUUCAAGAUCUCCCAAAAGUCAUCAGCCCAAUGAAGCCAUUGAAUGUGGUCAGACCUGAAUCAGGGGAAAGUUUCAGGACAACAACUGAAGUACUAAAGGAGAAAGGCAAGUCAGUUAUCAAUAUGGAUGCAGAUGAUGUUCAUGACAAUGAUGCAAGUGGAGGAUCAACAGAUUCAGAAGAAGAGGGUAGUGACAUUGAUUAUGUGCCUGAAAUUGCAGAUAGUGACUAUGCCAUAUCAGAGGGAGAUGAUGACUUGUAUGUGAACAAUUGCUUUGAUGCUGUAGAGGAGAAUAGGAAUGAGGAACAAUUGGAUGUGUCAGAAGAUGAUGAGUUAAGAAGGCCAGAUUCUGAUGAUGAAGGAAUAACUGAGAUGAACUUCAAGACAUGUAGGGAUGAAGAUUUAAUAUGCCCUAAGUUUCAUGUGGGGCAAGUUUUUCAGAAUGUGCAGCUGCUUAGGAAGGCUAUCAAAGAAUACUCAUGCAGGAACAGGGUCAACCUGAAGAUGCCAACUAAUGACAAGAUGAGGGUUUGUGCAAAAUGUGAGGAGGGGUGCCCUUGGUAUCUAUGGGCAUCCAAUGACAAUAGGACAAAUGCAUUCAUGGUUAAGAAGCUUGUGGACAAACACACAUGCAGCAAGAAAUGGCAAGUGAAAAGCUUCACAGCUCCAUACAUGGCAGAGAAGUAUUUGGACUCAUUUAGGGCAAAUGAAAACAUGAGCAUGAAGAACUUCUCUAGGGUGGUGCAGGAACAAUGGAAUAUGAAGCCUACAAGGAGUAAGCUUAGGAGGUACAUUCUUGAGGCCAGAGAGCUCCCCAUAUUGUCAUUGAUCAUGACAAUAAAAAAGCAGUUGAUGACAAGGUUCUACAACAAGAGAGAGGAAGCAGAAACAUGGGAUGGCACUGUUUGCCCCAAAAUUAAGAAAAGACUUGAGAAGAAUGAUGAUUUGUCAGCUACAUGUCAUGCAUCAAAUGCAGGGGAUGGAAUAUUCUAG
This 1401-nucleotide ribosomal RNA is filed under the name Triticum aestivum (bread wheat). Its description in RNAcentral is "partial small subunit ribosomal RNA". The record is from RNAcentral. Lineage: Eukaryota; Viridiplantae; Streptophyta; Magnoliopsida; Poales; Poaceae.